UCAAAGAUUAAGCCAUGCAUGUCUAAGUAUAAGCAAUUAUACAGCGAAAUUGCGAAUGGCUCAUUAUAUAAGUUAUCGUUUAUUUGAUAGUACCUUACUACUUGGAUAACCGUGGUAAUUCUAGAGCUAAUACAUGCUAAAAAUCCCGACUUCGGAAGGGAUGUAUUUAUUAGAUUAAAAACCAAUGCCCUCUGGGCUCUUUGGUGAUUCAUGAUAACUUCUCGAAUCGCACGGCCUUGCGCCGGCGACGGUUCAUUCAAAUUUCUGCCCUAUCAACUUUCGAUGGUAAGGUAUUGGCUUACCAUGGUUUCAACGGGUAACGGGGAAUUAGGGUUCUAUUCCGGAGAGGGAGCCUGAGAAACGGCUACCACAUCCAAGGAAGGCAGCAGGCGCGNAAAUUACCCAAUCCNNNUUCGGGGAGGUAGUGACAAUAAAUACUGAUACAGGGCUCUUUCGGGUCUUGUAAUUGGAAUGAGUACAAUCUAAAUCCCUUAACGAGGAACAAUUGGAGGGCAAGUCUGGUG
RNAcentral lists this ribosomal RNA (524 nucleotides) under uncultured fungus. RNAcentral's name for it is "SSU rRNA". It matches the Rfam family "Eukaryotic small subunit ribosomal RNA", at positions 37 to 566 of the family's 1831-position model. The record is from RNAcentral. Lineage: Eukaryota; Fungi.